CGCGCAGCGAGAGGUGCUUGCACCUUUCAGCGAGUGGCGAACGGGUGAGUAACACGUGGAUAACCUGCCUCAAGGCUGGGGAUAACAUUUGGAAACAGAUGCUAAUACCGAAUAAAACUUAGUAUCGCAUGAUAUCAAGUUAAAAGGCGCUACGGCGUCACCUAGAGAUGGAUCCGCGGUGCAUUAGUUAGUUGGUGGGGUAAAGGCUUACCAAGACGAUGAUGCAUAGCCGAGUUGAGAGACUGAUCGGCCACAUUGGGACUGAGACACGGCCCAAACUCCUACGGGAGGCUGCAGUAGGGAAUCUUCCACAAUGGGCGCAAGCCUGAUGGAGCAACGCCGCGUGUGUGAUGAAGGCUUUCGGGUCGUAAAGCACUGUUGUAUGGGAAGAAAUGCUAAAAUAGGGAAUGAUUUUAGUUUGACGGUACCAUACCAGAAAGGGACGGCUAAAUACGUGCCAGCAGCCGCGGUAAUACGUAUGUCCCGAGCGUUAUCCGGAUUUAUUGGGCGUAAAGCGAGCGCAGACGGUUGAUUAAGUCUGAUGUGAAAGCCCGGAGCUCAACUCCGGAAUGGCAUUGGAAACUGGUUAACUUGAGUGUUGUAGAGGUAAGUGGAACUCCAUGUGUAGCGGUGGAAUGCGUAGAUAUAUGGAAGAACACCAGUGGCGAAGGCGGCUUACUGGACAACAACUGACGUUGAGGCUCGAAAGUGUGGGUAGCAAACAGGAUUAGAUACCCUGGUAGUCCACACCGUAAACGAUGAAUACUAGGUGUUAGGAGGUUUCCGCCUCUUAGUGCCGAAGCUAACGCAUUAAGUAUUCCGCCUGGGGAGUACGACCGCAAGGUUGAAACUCAAAGGAAUUGACGGGGACCCGCACAAGCGGUGGAGCAUGUGGUUUAAUUCGAAGCAACGCGAAGAACCUUACCAGGUCUUGACAUCCUUUGAAGCUUUUAGAGAUAGAAGUGUUCUCUUCGGAGACAAAGUGACAGGUGGUGCAUGGUCGUCGUCAGCUCGUGUCGUGAGAUGUUGGGUUAAGUCCCGCAACGAGCGCAACCCUUAUUGUUAGUUGCCAGCAUUCAGUUGGGCACUCUAGCGAGACUGCCGGUGACAAACCGGAGGAAGGCGGGGACGACGUCAGAUCAUCAUGCCCCUUAUGACCUGGGCUACACACGUGCUACAAUGGCGUAUACAACGAGUUGCCAACCUGCGAAGGUGAGCUAAUCUCUUAAAGUACGUCUCAGUUCGGACUGCAGUCUGCAACUCGACUGCACGAAGUCGGAAUCGCUAGUAAUCGCGGAUCAGCACGCCGCGGUGAAUACGUUCCCGGGUCUUGUACACACCGCCCGUCACACCAUGGGAGUUUGUAAUGCCCA
RNAcentral lists this ribosomal RNA (1373 nucleotides) under Leuconostoc citreum. RNAcentral's name for it is "bacterial SSU rRNA". It matches the Rfam family "Bacterial small subunit ribosomal RNA", at positions 63 to 1423 of the family's 1533-position model. Lineage: Bacteria; Bacillati; Bacillota; Bacilli; Lactobacillales; Lactobacillaceae. The record is from RNAcentral.